AUUGAACGCUGGCGGCAUGCCUUACACAUGCAAGUCGAACGGCAGCACGGGAGCUUGCUCCUGGUGGCGAGUGGCGAACGGGUGAGUAAUACAUCGGAACGUACCCCGAAGUGGGGGAUAACGUAGCGAAAGUUACGCUAAUACCGCAUAUUCUGUGAGCAGGAAAGAGGGGGAUCGCAAGACCUCUUGCUUUAGGAGCGGCCGAUGUCGGAUUAGCUAGUUGGUGAGGUAAAGGCUCACCAAGGCGACGAUCCGUAGCGGGUCUGAGAGGAUGAUCCGCCACACUGGGACUGAGACACGGCCCAGACUCCUACGGGAGGCAGCAGUGGGGAAUUUUGGACAAUGGGCGCAAGCCUGAUCCAGCCAUGCCGCGUGAGUGAAGAAGGCCUUCGGGUUGUAAAGC
RNAcentral lists this ribosomal RNA (403 nucleotides) under uncultured bacterium. RNAcentral describes it as "bacterial SSU rRNA". It matches the Rfam family "Bacterial small subunit ribosomal RNA", at positions 30 to 431 of the family's 1533-position model. The record is from RNAcentral.